RNAcentral lists this ribosomal RNA (468 nucleotides) under uncultured bacterium. RNAcentral's name for it is "partial 16S ribosomal RNA". It matches the Rfam family "Bacterial small subunit ribosomal RNA", at positions 28 to 507 of the family's 1533-position model. The record is from RNAcentral.
GACGAACGCUGGCGGCGUGCUUAACACAUGCAAGUCGAACGGAAAGGCCCUGCUUUUGUGGGGUGCUCGAGUGGCGAACGGGUGAGUAACACGUGAGUAACCUGCCCUUGACUUUGGGAUAACUUCAGGAAACUGGGGCUAAUACCGGAUAGGAGCUCCUGCUGCAUGGUGGGGGUUGGAAAGUUUCGGCGGUUGGGGAUGGACGCGCGGCUUAUCAGCUUGUUGGUGGGGUAGUGGCUUACCAAGGCUUUGACGGGUAGCCGGCCUGAGAGGGUGACCGGCCACAUUGGGACUGAGAUACGGCGCAGACUCCUACGGGAGGCAGCAGUGGGGAAUAUUGCACAAUGGGCGGAAGCCUGAUGCAGCAACGCCGCGUGCGGGAUGACGGCCUUCGGGUUGUAAACCGCUUUCGCCUGUGACGAAGCGUGAGUGACGGUAAUGGGUAAAGAAGCACCGGCUAACUACGUG